GGAUAUUCCGACUCCUUAAGGGCCUGGCGCACAUAAGGUGUGACCUUUUCAUUCCCGUUGUUAUGGAGGGCCACAUCUGCCAGAGCCUGGAGUCUGCGAAGGCCGGGACCCGGUUCCCCGGCCCACAGUGGGGGUGUGCAAACCCGAGAGAACUGGUCGCUGAAACCUCUACAACUUAGUUGACCGUAACUGCCAGAGCCCUGCCCUGAAUUCCUGUCCUUACUCCCUCUUUAAGAUUGCGUACCCACUGCAGAGUGCUGAAGACGGGGUAGCCACGAGGUUGCAAAUUCGUGAAGAAUCAGCAUCAUGUUUGGCAGCUGAGUAUUGGAGCCAGGAGCCUGCCAUGAGGUUUUGAGAACAGAGUGCUGUUUUAGAGCUGGCAGCAGCAUCUCAGCCCAAGAGAAGGUUAUAUUCCCAGAGGAUGUCAGUCCCAAGGACCAGUAGCUGCCAUCAGUUUGGAUUCUGAAAACUAACUGGCAUCAACACUGGGUGUAGAAACAUGCUUGCCUUAUGUAUCAGAGGACAUGCUCAGCAGAUCCAAGAGAUAUAUUUGGCAACUUUUUCUAGAAAAGGCACAUUGGGUAUCAUUCAUUACAUUCUUGAGUUUUUUUGGGUUUUUUUUUUUUUUUUUGAGACAGUCUUGCUGUAUUGCCCAGGCUGGAGUGUGGUGGCACAAUCACAGCUCAUUGCAUCCUCAAUCACCCAGGCCUAAGCAAUCCUCCCACCUUGUAGCUGGGACUACAGCUCACAGCACACCUGGCUAAAAUUUUUUUUUUGUUGAGACGGAUUCUCUAUGUUGCCCAGGCUGGUCUCAGGCUCCUGGGCUCAGAUGGUCCUCCUGCCUCAGCUUCCAAAGGCACAGGCCAAGUUGUAGCUUUGUCCCUUGCCAUCAUGCCCAACAAGAGGUUCUAUACCUUUUAAUGAAUUGACUUUCAUAAAUUGGUUAUGUUGGUGGGCAAAGUUCUUUAAGCUGGAAAUUGUAAAUUCCUCCUGAAAUGUUUUUUCAUGCAGUUACCAUGAACUAAUACUACAAUAAAGGAUGGUCUUGGGUGUCAA
Molecule: long non-coding RNA, 1056 nt
Filed under: Homo sapiens (human)
Lineage: Eukaryota; Metazoa; Chordata; Mammalia; Primates; Hominidae
Description: HSALNT0388746
Source: RNAcentral